UGGGGAAUAUUGGACAAUGGGCGCAAGCCUGAUCCAGCCAUGCCGCGUGAGUGAUGAAGGCCCUAGGGUUGUAAAGCUCUUUCACCGGUGAAGAUAAUGACGGUAACCGGAGAAGAAGCCCCGGCUAACUUCGUGCCAGCAGCCGCGGUAAUACGAAGGGGGCUAGCGUUGUUCGGAUUUACUGGGCGUAAAGCGCACGUAGGCGGACUAUUAAGUCAGGGGUGAAAUCCCGGGGCUCAACCCCGGAACUGCCUUUGAUACUGGUAGUCUCGAGUUCGAGAGAGGUGAGUGGAAUUCCGAGUGUAGAGGUGAAAUUCGUAGAUAUUCGGAGGAACACCAGUGGCGAAGGCGGCUCACUGGCUCGAUACUGACGCUGAGGUGCGAAAGCGUGGGGAGCAAACAGG
Molecule: ribosomal RNA, 404 nt
Filed under: Actinomycetes bacterium
Lineage: Bacteria; Bacillati; Actinomycetota; Actinomycetes
Description: Actinobacteria bacterium partial 16S ribosomal RNA
Rfam family: Bacterial small subunit ribosomal RNA
Source: RNAcentral